Molecule: long non-coding RNA, 373 nt
Filed under: Mytilus galloprovincialis (Mediterranean mussel)
Lineage: Eukaryota; Metazoa; Mollusca; Bivalvia; Mytilida; Mytilidae
Source: RNAcentral
CACUCUGUUAUAUCCCUUGAUCAAUGUUAAACCCACUUGCGAACCUAUAGAAAAACAACACAUAGAUAUGUAUAACAGGAGACAUUUUGAAUCUUCAAUACAAUCCUGAAGUCGUGUAAGAGAAAAGUUUUUUUUAUAUGACGUUAUUAUUUAGUCUUUUCUUAUUGGCUCAGUCCAAUUAGUAAUUUAUGUUAAACCAAGAAUGAACCAUGAAUCAAUGGCAAAAAGUCCAUCCUAGUUUUCGCAUCCAUAAAAAAGCAACUUAUUGACACUCUCUGUCCGCGUUUGAUAAUUCGCAUCCCCGUUUUGUUCUAAUCCCCACGUUUUGAAUCAGCAUGCAGACACAAUUUGCUUCGAUCUUUCGUCAGACAAG